This 626-nucleotide long non-coding RNA is filed under the name Oryza sativa tropical japonica subgroup. Its description in RNAcentral is "lncRNA OsAzu_07g0019080". Lineage: Eukaryota; Viridiplantae; Streptophyta; Magnoliopsida; Poales; Poaceae. The record is from RNAcentral.
UGACACAGCACUCCUAUCUGCUCAACCACUUGCUUGGCUUCCUCUGCUCCGGCGACCGGGCGGCCCGCCGGCCGGCGGCGAGAGGUAGCGCCAGUUCAUUUCUGGGCCCCAACAUUCAAAUGGGGUAUCAGUAUUGCCAAUGUUGCUGACUUUGCCAAACCUCCUGAAAUGAUAUCCUACCCUCAGCAAGUUGUUGUGGCUUGCAGUGGAGUAAUUUGGGCACGGUGGGGCAUGGUCAUCACACCUAUAAACUGGAACCUCUCCAGCGUGAAUGCUGCAAUGGCCGUGACAGGCGUGUGCCAGCUUUCCCGUAAGAUAAGGCACGAUUACUUCUCUGAUGAGAAGAGUGCUACUGCGUCGCUGGAAGGAUGAUAGGAAGAAGAAAUUGUUGUCAUGGAAUGGAACACUAAUUUCAUUAUCAGUCGACCAGCACAGUGUUCACUGUGAAUGUGUCCGCUUCCAUGAUAACAAAUUAACAAUCCCAUGUGUGUGUAUGAUCAUUAUGAAUUGGGCUAUUGGUAUGAAAUGUUUUUAUACCCUUUGGUAUACAGAUAGUAAGCGAGUCUGAACUUAACUGAAACGGACUUGGUUUGAGUUCAGCUCGAAGUACACUCGAAUUAAACUUA